Molecule: ribosomal RNA, 251 nt
Filed under: uncultured bacterium
Lineage: Bacteria
Description: partial 16S ribosomal RNA
Rfam family: Bacterial small subunit ribosomal RNA
Source: RNAcentral
UACGUAGGUGGCAAGUGUUAUCCGGAUUUAUUGGGUGUAAAGGGCGUGUAGGCGGGAAUGCAAGUCAGAUGUGAAAACUAUGGGCUCAACCCAUAGCCUGCAUUUGAAACUGUAUUUCUUGAGUGCUGGAGAGGCAAUCGGAAUUCCGUGUGUAGCGGUGAAAUGCGUAGAUAUACGGAGGAACACCAGUGGCGAAGGCGGAUUGCUGGACAGUAACUGACGUUGAGGCACGAAAGUGUGGGGAGCAAACA